This 337-nucleotide ribosomal RNA is filed under the name Microbacterium sp. RNAcentral's name for it is "bacterial SSU rRNA". It matches the Rfam family "Bacterial small subunit ribosomal RNA", at positions 920 to 1267 of the family's 1533-position model. The record is from RNAcentral. Lineage: Bacteria; Bacillati; Actinomycetota; Actinomycetes; Micrococcales; Microbacteriaceae.
CCCGCCCCAGCGGCGGGCAUGCGGAUUAAUUGAUGCAACGCGAAGAACCUUACCAAGCUUCCCCCUCCGGAACGGCCAGAAAUGGUCACUCUUUGGACACUCGUAAACAGGUGGUGCAUGAGUCGUCAGCUCGUGUCGUGAGAUGUUGGGUUAAGUCCCGCAACGAGCGCAACCCUCGUUCUAUGUUGCCAGCACGUAAUGGUGGGAACUCAUGGGAUACUGCCGGGGUCAACUCGGAGGAAGGUGGGGAUGACGUCAAAUCAUCAUGCCCCUUAUGUCUUGGGCUUCACGCAUGCUACAAUGGCCGGUACAAAGGGCUGCAUACCGUGAGGUGGAG